UAGCCAGGAGCAAGGUGUCCAUGAGCCAGGAGGAAGAAGAGAGAAGGAAAGACCAUGUUCCGCCACGAGACCCACCUGGCUGAGGGCCUGUGAGGCUAAGAUCUCCUCCAGUCAUGUUCUGGACACCACUGUCCUGCCCCAACCCUCACUGAGACUUGGCAACAGGAGAUAACUGGGCUGGGCAGAGUCCCCACACCAGGCACCUCGAGGAAGCAGGAAAGUGUGCAUCCCAGGGCAACAGACACUGGACAUCUAAGGGACAGAGCAGAGCACACAAGCGCCAGGUUCUAACAAGGCUUGCGUCAGGAAACAUUCUGCAAACGGAUGCGCCUUUUUCCCUGGCACUCAGAGUUCCCAGACCAUGAGCAGGGCACAGCACUCUUCUCUCUGACUAACUGGGGCCGAGGAAGGAGGGGAGGCAGCAUCUACGUGUUUUUCCAUGCACCGUCAUCGGAUGGACAGGAGCACACAGGUUCCAAGGAAGAGCACACCUUCCCGGCCACGGGGCCACCCAGGAUGCAUAGCAGUGAGGGGGGUCAUACCAGCCCCACACGGUCCUCACCCCAGAGAUGGAGACAUGAGGGCCUGGGUGUAAACCAGCCGAUCCCAG
This 610-nucleotide long non-coding RNA is filed under the name Zalophus californianus (California sea lion). RNAcentral describes it as "lncRNA (ENSZCAG00015008513.1)". Lineage: Eukaryota; Metazoa; Chordata; Mammalia; Carnivora; Otariidae. The record is from RNAcentral.